UAAAAUAUAGAGAAGAGGCAAGUCGUAACAUAAUUCAACGGCCGCGGUAUCCUAACCGUGCGAAGGUAGCGUAAUCACUUGUUCUCUAAAUCAGGACUAGUAUGAACGGCACCACGAGGGUUAUACUGUCUCCUUUUUCCAAUUAGUGAACUUAAUCUUCCCGUGAAGAAGCCGGAAUAAUCCUAUAAGACGAGAAGACCCUUUGGAGCUUUAAACAUCAUAGCACUUGCAUCACCUCUAUAUUGAAUUAUAACUCCCGCACGAUGACUAUAAGUUUUAGGUUGGGGUGACCGCGGAGUAAAAUAAACCCUCCACACUGUAAGAAUCUAAUCUUAACUAAGAGCUACACCUCCAAGUAUCAGUAUACUGACAUCUAUUGACCCAAUAUAUUUGAUCAACGAACCAAGUUACCCCAGGGAUAACAGCGCAAUCCAUUUCAAGAGCCCCUAUCGCCAAAUGGGUUUACGACCUCGAUGUUGGAUCAGGAUCUCCUAGUGGUGCAGCCGCUACUAAUGGUUCGUUUGUUCAACGAUUAAAAUCCUACGUGAUCUGAGUUCAGAC
This 561-nucleotide ribosomal RNA is filed under the name Amazophrynella siona. RNAcentral's name for it is "partial 16S ribosomal RNA". It matches the Rfam family "Bacterial large subunit ribosomal RNA", at positions 1890 to 2616 of the family's 2925-position model. Lineage: Eukaryota; Metazoa; Chordata; Amphibia; Anura; Bufonidae. The record is from RNAcentral.